This 517-nucleotide long non-coding RNA is filed under the name Linum usitatissimum (flax). Its description in RNAcentral is "long non-coding RNA (LUSI_LNC004595)". Lineage: Eukaryota; Viridiplantae; Streptophyta; Magnoliopsida; Malpighiales; Linaceae. The record is from RNAcentral.
AAAAUGAGAAGUGGCAGAGGUGAAUUACCAGGGGUGAGUUUAAUUAUGGGGUUUCAUACUUUGACAAGUUGUUGUUUCCCUUGUGCAGUUGGAGCUUGUGUGUUAUCAAUGCACUACUUUCUCCUUCAUUUGAGUCUUCCACUUAGCCCUGCAAAUGCAAUGAAACUCGGGAUCAUUCACCAUUUCCAUCUUAUAUGAAACACAAUAAAGAAUAAAUACAACAUCAACGUUUUAGUUUAUCAUACCUUCUGAUCAGAUACAUGGUUUCUGCCUUUCUGCACUGAUCCUUUAUUCUUCUACCUGAAUGUUCACCCUAGACGCUACACCCUGGCAACUAGUACAUAAAUUACCCUUAACCCCAAUACCUGCCCAGUAAGUUACAAAAGCAGGUCAGCAGUUAGAAGACCAACAAAGUAAGGAGGAAGCACACAGUAGCGAAGAGUAAAAGACCUACAAACUACAACGGAAAAAAUACCAUCAGAAGAAUAGGAAGAAUGACAAGUGGCAGAGGUGAAUU